RNAcentral lists this ribosomal RNA (468 nucleotides) under uncultured bacterium. RNAcentral's name for it is "partial 16S ribosomal RNA". It matches the Rfam family "Bacterial small subunit ribosomal RNA", at positions 28 to 507 of the family's 1533-position model. The record is from RNAcentral.
GACGAACGCUGGCGGCGUGCUUAACACAUGCAAGUCGAACGGAAAGGCCCUGCUUUUGUGGGGUGCUCGAGCGGCGAACGGGUGAGUAACACGUGAGUAACCUGCCCUUGACUUUGGGAUAACUUCAGGAAACUGGGGCUAAUACCGGAUAGGAGCUCCUGCUGCAUGGUGGGGGUUGGAAAGUUUCGGCGGUUGGGGAUGGACUCGCGGCUUAUCAGCUUGUUGGUGGGGUAGUGGCUUACCAAGGCUUUGACGGGUAGCCGGCCUGAGAGGGUGACCGGCCACAUUGGGACUGCGAUACGGCCCAGACUCCUACGGGAGGCAGCAGUGGGGAAUAUUGCACAAUGGGCGGAAGCCUGAUGCAGCAACGCCGCGUGCGGGAUGACGGCCUUCGGGUUGUAAACCGCUUUCGCCUGUGACGAAGCGUGAGUGACGGUAAUGGGUAAAGAAGCACCGGCUAACUACGUG